AACUUUAACCAUGGCAAACGCGUGUACACGACCACACUAAUUUUUAUUUUUUAUUUAGGGGUAUUUUCUAUUGUCUCGAUAGAAUACAAUAAUCCGAUUAUUGGUGAGAAUACAAAACACUAUAUACCCACUAUCGAUACAUACCAACGAUCAUUAUUACAUAACAGAACGUGCAGCGAAUUUACUUACUCUAUCCAAGUUUGGUCCAAACCGAAACGUAACCGAGUCAGUUUAAGGAGUCACUGUGUAUAUAAUUGUUUAAUGUAUAGUAUUUAUAAUAUUUGAUUAUAGCUCGGAUGUCACAGAAAAACUCGGUUUUUUCUGACUGUCGAUAAAACUUACGAAAAUCUUUACAAAGCGUUUUUACUUCGAGGCUUCGACCCGUUAAAAUCGAUUUUUAAAUAUCAACCAGUUAUAUCG
Cinara cedri is the source of this 420-nucleotide non-coding RNA. NCBI's taxonomy places the organism in Eukaryota, Metazoa, Arthropoda, Insecta, Hemiptera, Aphididae. The record is from the annotation of a GenBank genome assembly.